CUACGGGCGGCUGCAGUGAGGAAUAUUGCACAAUGGGGGGAACCCUGAUGCAGCAACGCCGCGUGGAGGAUGACGCAUUUCGGUGUGUAAACUCCUUUUAUAUGUCAAGAAAAUGACGGUAGCAUAUGAAUAAGCACCGGCUAACUCCGUGCCAGCAGCCGCGGUAAUACGGAGGGUGCAAGCGUUACUCGGAAUCACUGGGCGUAAAGGACGCGUAGGCGGGUUGGAAAGUCAGGUGUGAAAUCCUACAGCUUAACUGUAGAACUGCACUUGAAACUUCUAAUCUAGAGUAUGGGAGGGGAGAUGGGAUUAGUGGUGUAGGGGUAAAAUCCGUAGAUAUCACUAGGAAUACCUAAAGCGAAGGCGAUCUCCUGGAACAUUACUGACGCUAAGGCGUGAAAGCGUGGGGAGCAAACAGGAUUAGAUACCCUCGUAGUC
RNAcentral lists this ribosomal RNA (438 nucleotides) under uncultured bacterium. RNAcentral's name for it is "partial 16S ribosomal RNA". It matches the Rfam family "Bacterial small subunit ribosomal RNA", at positions 339 to 795 of the family's 1533-position model. The record is from RNAcentral.